GUGAUUCUGAUGUCUACUAAAGUUUGAGAAACAGUGUGUAGAUAAUAGGAAUUUGGGUUCUAUAGUCAGGCUUCCUUUUUGAGCAGGCAGCUUAAGCUCACUGCACCUGGUUUUCACAUCUGUAGAGUGGGAAUAACGAUAAUACUUAGAUUAUAAAGUUAGAGUAAUCCAUGUUGGCUAUUCUGUGCUGCUGGAGCUGGAUCAGGGAGUUGACCCUGAGAUUAUAGUGGGAGAAGCUGAGGUUCAAAUGCCAGGAGAGCAUGGGUAGGUGCUAAAUCUGGAGGUGUCGAAGAUAGGGAUAGAAGCAAGGUUUAUGAUAAGUGAGACAAGAGUGAGAGAAAGCAGUUUGGGAUCAGCUGGGGAAAGGGAGUGCCCUGAGAACUUGCCCUAGUGGGCCAGUGGGAGUUUGAGUUAUGAGAAGGAGUUAAUUUUAUGUCAUGAGCUGACUCAACACCUUCACCACUGCAUCCUAGAUGAAGACAGGUGGGGCUAACAGGAUGAAAUUCCAAGGGACCAAAGUCUGGAUAACUUCUUCCCCUGAGGCAGUAGAAGAAUCUGCUGAUGGAGAGACGGCAGAAUUGGAACCACAGGAGAGGGGUAUUUAUGACAAUCCACAGAGCAGAGCCCUCACCUUGUGGAGCAUGGUGGUCAACCUCAGUGGCCAGUGGAUGCCAGAUCUCUGUGAUGGGGACAUUGCCUUGAGUGGAUGGGUUCAUCAGGCACUGCAGAAACAAAUGUUAGGGGAUGCUUGGUGCUUCCUACAUGAAUCCUUCGCUUUGUGACAUUGGUGACAUCAAGAGCACUAAUGAUGCAGUAUUGCCUGGAACAGUGCUCCAUUCUUGCCUUUCAGAUGUUCCUUGAAGCCCCUGCCACACUGCAUGUGGGUGCACAUGCUUUGAUGUGCUCCUGCGGGCCGGGACAACGCCUUGGUGACUGCCACAUGGCAGAUGGUGACGGAAGGAUACAUCCUCAUUUCAGAGAUGUUACAGUGUGGAAAAAAAUAGACAUUUCAGAAUCAAGGAAAUACAAACAUAUUUUAUAGAUAUAUGCACACACACAGACAUUUUUUGAGUAGUGUGGUUUUUUUCUUUUUACUAAGAUGGUAUCAUAUUAUAUACACUUUCCUACAUUUUGUUUUUUUCACUCAUGCUAUGUAGAACUCUCUUCAAGUCACUCGGCAUAGCUCUUUUUCAUUCUUUUAGGUAGCCGUACGCUAUUUUAUGGUGUAGAUGUGUCACAAUGUAUUUAGCCAGUUUCCCAUUUAUGAACAUUCAUUUUGUUUGUAAAGGUUUUGCAACUACAAACAAUGCUGCAGUAAGUAUCCUUACAUGUCCUUAAAUAUUAGUGCUUUUAUCUCCCAUGAAUUACUCAAAGGAUACUGUUUAUUUUAACAUACUUUGUAAGAAAGCUUUCCAUAAAUGCUAGGAAACCUCCUUUUACCACCAGCAGUGUAUGAGAGUGCUCUGUUCCCCAUAACCUGCAUGUUCAUUUCGGGAGAAUUGACAUUUAAUAAUAAUAGGUCUUCUCAUCCAAGAGAGUGGUUAUCUUGUUUGUCUUUAAUAAUGUCUCUAGUUUUCCUCAAAUAGUUCUUGUGCAUUUCUUGUUAAAUGUAUUCCUCAGUAUUUCAUGGUUUUUGUUUCUCUAAAGAUG
Equus asinus (donkey) is the source of this 1650-nucleotide long non-coding RNA. NCBI's taxonomy places the organism in Eukaryota, Metazoa, Chordata, Mammalia, Perissodactyla, Equidae. The record is from Ensembl.